AGUGAACGCUGGCGGUAGGCCUAACACAUGCAAGUCGAACGGCAGCACAGAGGAGCUUGCUCCUUGGGUGGCGAGUGGCGGACGGGUGAGGAAUACAUCGGAAUCUACUUUUUCGUGGGGGAUAACGUAGGGAAACUUACGCUAAUACCGCAUACGACCUACGGGUGAAAGCAGGGGACCUUCGGGCCUUGCGCGAUUGAAUGAGCCGAUGUCGGAUUAGCUAGUUGGCGGGGUAAAGGCCCACCAAGGCGAAGAUCCGUAGCUGGUCUGGGAGGAUGCUACGCCACACGGGAACUGAGACACGGUCCAGAAUACUACGGGAGGAAGCAGUGGGGAAUAUUGGCCAAUGGGCGCAAGCCUGAUCCAGCCAUACCGCGUGGGUGAAGAAGGCCUUCGGGUUGUAAAGCCCUUUUGUAGGGAAAGAAAUCCAGCCGGCUAAUACCUGGUUGGGAUGACGGUACCCAAAGAAUAAGCACCGGCUAACUUCGUGCCAGCCGCCGCAGUAA
Molecule: ribosomal RNA, 506 nt
Filed under: uncultured bacterium
Lineage: Bacteria
Description: partial 16S ribosomal RNA
Rfam family: Bacterial small subunit ribosomal RNA
Source: RNAcentral